Molecule: unclassified non-coding RNA, 243 nt
Filed under: Onthophagus taurus
Lineage: Eukaryota; Metazoa; Arthropoda; Insecta; Coleoptera; Scarabaeidae
Description: uncharacterized LOC111424027, transcript variant X3
Source: RNAcentral
AGUUUGAGGUUAAUUUUUUAAUAAAAACACUUAUUUUUACUUUUUAUUCGGGAUAAAUUUAAUUAUUUAGUUUAAUAAUGAGUAAUAAAGCUGUAAUUGUUAGCGGGGAAGCUUCAGAAACCGAUAGUGAUGAUGAUAUCGUCCGUGGUGCUUUGGAGUACUCCGAUGUAAACACAUUUCAAGCUUCAGUAAUUCAAGGUGAAGAUUCAGAAUCAGAUCAAGAAAUUGCAACUCCGAAACCAA